GACAGAGGAUGCAAACGUUGCUCGGAAUUACUGGGCGUAAAGCGCAUGUAGGCGGCUUGGUAAGUCGGACGUGAAAGCCCGGGGCUCAACCCCGGAAGCGCGCUCGAUACUGCCGAACUUGGGUCCUGAAGAGGAGAGCGGAAUUCCCGGUGUAGAGGUGAAAUUCGUAGAUAUCGGGAGGAACACCAGUGGCGAAGGCGGCUCUCUGGGCAGGUACCGACGCUGAGAUGCGAAAGCGUGGGAAGCAAAC
This 250-nucleotide ribosomal RNA is filed under the name uncultured bacterium. RNAcentral's name for it is "partial 16S ribosomal RNA". It matches the Rfam family "Bacterial small subunit ribosomal RNA", at positions 524 to 773 of the family's 1533-position model. The record is from RNAcentral.